This 501-nucleotide unclassified non-coding RNA is filed under the name Hevea brasiliensis (rubber tree). The record is from RNAcentral. Lineage: Eukaryota; Viridiplantae; Streptophyta; Magnoliopsida; Malpighiales; Euphorbiaceae.
GUCCUGUAAUUAUCAGUCAAACUUCGCUGCGUUGCAAAAUUGAAACUACAAUGCCUCGUGUUUUUAAUUAAGAUUUGAAACUUUCUACUCUGCAACAAACUCCCUUUAUAUUGCCUUAUCCUCACUGUCACCACAGGUUAUUUUUCUCUUCUUUUCAACUUAUCAAUGGCGGCAAAAGCGCCGGAACCUACUGCCAGUUGUCCCAAUAGCACCCACUCCAUUGAUCCCAACACUGGUUUUUGUAAAGAAACUAGAACCUUUCACAGCCUGAGACCCUACACCCCUCUGCCACCACCAAAUGAGCCUCUUUCCAUUACCCAGUUGGUUUUCUCUCUUCUCAACUCUUCCACCACCAACCCCACCGCCGAUACUUUUCUUGUCAAUGCCAACACAAGCCAUUCUAUCACCUACGCUCAAUUCCUGAGCCAGACCCACUCUCUUUCCCUCGCUCUCAAUGCUCAUUAUUCUCUGUCUACCAACGACGUCGCUUUUAUCCUCUGU